This is a non-coding RNA of Labrus bergylta (ballan wrasse), 1225 nucleotides long. NCBI's taxonomy places the organism in Eukaryota, Metazoa, Chordata, Actinopteri, Labriformes, Labridae. The record is from RefSeq and is a predicted model, not a curated record.
ACGUCAUCCUCUGCCUAUCACACACCUGAUACCACUCACAAAUAUUGAAGAUAUAUAUGAUUCACUUUAUUGAACAUUAUCCUUCAGUUUGUGACGUAAAGACUCACAACACUUCAGUUAAAACUAAAGGAAUCAUAACUCAUUAAAUAUGUUUCAGUUGAAUUUAUAAUAAUAAAAUCAUUUUUGUUAGUUGAUAUAACCACGUGUCCUCCACACCUAGCAGCUCUGAUGAACGGGCUUCAGGUCAGGUGGUUUACAGGGUCCUUCAACAUGUCAUAGCCUGCUGGGACAAAUAACGGGAUCUUUUAUUCACACAUGUAGUUCACUUUAUUUCCCUGUUUAUUCCUCUUUUUAUAAACAUAUUUAAUCAGAUAUGUGUUGAACAAGAGAAUCACAUUUUAUGUUUCUGCUGCUGUAAAUAACCUGAAUAAUUUAUUAUUUAUACUUUGUACACAGGUGCAUGUUCAGAGCCAUCUGUCACCAUACUCGAUGAAUCAAAGGACUGGUCUCUGCUGCAGUGUGAAGUUAAAGGAGCUUCUCCUCGACUUGAAGUGGAGUGGAGGAACAGUUCUGGAAACAUCCUUCAUGCUGAAGAACCACAGGUCACAGAAAGAGGAGACAGCUACGACAUCAUCCUCAACACCACUGUGACCAAGACCGACCACUACAGCUGUGUGCUCACACAGAAUGAGAUCUGUCAUCAGAUUUCCUCUAAGAUCUUUGUGUACAUCCACGAACCAGAGGAGUCUUAAGACUUGUAUAAAAGAAAACUCUGUGCAGAACCACGACGACUCUCCAGAUGUUUCUAACAUUAUUCAUCACUGUGUGAACAUCUGUCUGAUAACACUAAAGGGGUUUAAAAAAGACACAAAAAGGACUCAGAGAUUACCGUAACAUCUGGUGUAUAGACGCACUUUUAAUACCUAUUGUUUCAUCUUUAUACACCGGUGGGACCAACAUAGCAGUAUAAAAUAGUGAAACACGUCAUUACAGCGUGUGCAGCAGCCACCAUCACACACUGCGCUCGACCUGACGUCAUUAAAAACACAUCCCCGUUCAGUGUGUAUUGAAAGCUGGUUGCACGCUGUGUUGGGAAAGACAGCGACACAGACCAGUCCGUCUGAGCGACUUUUUCACAUCUUUACUCCCUCAUGAGGUCAUAAUCAGGACUUUACAGAAAACGGUGGUUUAUGGUUCUGUAAAUAAACCGUGUGGAGUGUUUUGA